CCAAAUUCUGCAAGAAUGGCCACCAUCCACUGCUUUGACUGACUGUUGACUGUCUUUGACCUAAUUGCUGAUGACUGCUUCAACUGCAAGCAACAAGGUUAGACUGACAAUAUUUUUGUACUUUUUGAAUGAUAAACAUAUGAAAAGCAAAGAUAUACAAAUGCAAAGUAUGCUUGGUGAUCAAGAAACAACCCACGAGGCAACCUACCCACUAGGAGGGAAG
Molecule: long non-coding RNA, 223 nt
Filed under: Lathyrus oleraceus (garden pea)
Lineage: Eukaryota; Viridiplantae; Streptophyta; Magnoliopsida; Fabales; Fabaceae
Description: Pisum sativum (pea) long non-coding RNA (PSAT_LNC024218)
Source: RNAcentral